AAAACGACUCUCGGCAACGGAUAUCUCGGCUCUCGCAUCGAUGAAGAACGUAGCGAAAUGCGAUACUUGGUGUGAAUUGCAGAAUCCCGUGAACCAUCGAGUCUUUGAACGCAAGUUUCGCCCGAAGCCAUUAGGCCGAGGGCACGCCUGCCUGGGCGUCACAC
This 164-nucleotide ribosomal RNA is filed under the name Prunus mume (Japanese apricot). RNAcentral's name for it is "5.8S ribosomal RNA". It matches the Rfam family "5.8S ribosomal RNA". From Rfam's summary of the family: 5.8S ribosomal RNA (5.8S rRNA) is a component of the large subunit of the eukaryotic ribosome. It is transcribed by RNA polymerase I as part of the 45S precursor that also contains 18S and 28S rRNA. Functionally, it is thought that 5.8S rRNA may be involved in ribosome translocation. The record is from RNAcentral. Lineage: Eukaryota; Viridiplantae; Streptophyta; Magnoliopsida; Rosales; Rosaceae.